AAACGCCUCCCGAGAAAGUUUGCUUUUUAUUUCCACGCUAACGAACGGCGCUCUAAACCCCGCGGAAUAAACGCGCAACGCCGCGACUCGUUGUAAAUCCGGCGUUUGGUGUCAGUGAAACGCCCCGUAAAUAGUGCGAAGUUCAAGGGCGCUUCGUUAAGCGCGCGCGCGCGUGUUUACCGGGCACUGGAAAAAAAAAAAGGGCCACUUCAAUUGGAAACACUCUAUUAAGAUACAGUCGCGCUGACCUUUGGUUUCAUGCCACGUUAGAGCAGUCAAUUCGCUCUUCGUCGGAAUCGCUCAUAUUUUUUGUUCCCGAAUCUUUGAAAUCCCUCGCGCGCGUUAACGUUUAAUUCGGAAAUAAGCGCGCGCUCUGCCCACCCUUUGUCCGCGGACUAUUAUUUGCUCAAGGAAAGAAUGAUCUUCUAUUUAUUUAAAACAAGUGCCCCUUUGAAUAGCGCAAAAUAAACACGGUGAAAAAUAACCAAAGAGAUAGUCCCCUCGGACUGAAAAGGGGGGACUUCAUAAAAGCUGCAGCAGUCACAGCUGAAUGGGAGACGCUUUGAAGUAGAACUUAUUAUCUGAGGAAUACUUUUCGGUCGUCUUAACGACGCUAUUGAAUCGAAAAGCUACCCCCUUUGUCAGCGAUUUGUUCUCCUUUAGUGCAAUGCCCGUGGAAAUCACUUACAUGGUCUACCUUAACAUGCAGCCUGCAAAUCAGUAACUCCAAGAGUCAGACUCUCAGACGCCACUUUUCAAAAGACAAAGCAGAAGUCAGUGUGAAAACGCAGCGAGUUCUCUGCCGUUUUGCCUUUAUUGGACAGAAUGAUCACAUCAGAGGAGGCCGUUUACUGCGGUCUAGUCAGAUUUCACACCGUCAGCUUCUCAUUACGCGUUUGACGAGGGUUCAGGGCACCCGAGCCAUCGCGCGCCCCGUUUUAAGCGACGCACCGGGACGAAAAGAAAACAUUAAACUUUGCCGUACUUUCUCUUAUCAGCAAAAAGCGCGCUUCGCACUAUCUGCUCGAGCGUCGCGCGCGCGUUCAAUCCACAAAGUCUCAGAGGUAAACCACGGCGCUAAUGGAAUAUACGAGUGUCUGUUCGAGAGAGACAAGUGCGACAAACACUAAAUGGCACGAAUAUGAUUCCAACAUCUUUUUGAAUGAGUUGCGCGCGCUUGUUAAAAUUUAUUUGAGUUCGGUCGACCUCUAAGCUGAGGAUAAUUAAUAUUGUACACUUUGCCAACCAGGUGUAAGAACACAUUUAUUUUUAUAUUUGUUUUUGUAUUUUUAUCAGUAAAAAAAGCUAUCCUAAAAUUUGUGAAACCGCCUACAGUUUUGAAUCUAUUUUUUACAAUAAAACCAUAAAUGAGUAUAACAUUUAAUACAUAAAAUAUGUAACCUUUAAUAAAUUUGAAGUCGCAUUAUGCAAUUAAAAACGAGACGUUGUUAUAAUAUUAGUCUAGCAUACUUUUUUUCUCUUUAAGAGAGAGAGAGAGAGAAUAGAGAGGUAAGAAAACGUUGCACGGAUAAACAUUUUAAAAGCACCAAACGAAACUCUUCUCUUCUAAACCGUUUCAAAAUAAUAACAACUUGAAGUAUGCGAGGUAUUGUAAACAUCCGUUGAAGUGUUUUACCACAGUAUGCUUUGAAGACCAAGAAAACUGGGCACAUAUUCAUUCUCCAGGCACUCUGCCAAACUCUUCCAAGCACCCUACCUGCCUACUAUCUUAAGUUUCCCGAAUAAGUGAGAAAACACAAUCCAGUUGCAGCUGCAGGGCUGCGUGUUUCCUCCCUUGCGCUCCGAGACUGAACUCUAAAAGGCGGACAAGAAAACUUUUGACGCAUGGGCGAAAACUCAUGGGGUGUUUAUACAGUGCAACAUGCUGAUCCAUUCCACAUCUGACGGACUACCAUGAGCAACACAUCAGAGUCGUGCCUCUGAAUACAGCAUCUUUCAUAGAGGAAAAGGUCAACAUUCAGUGAGAGGAAAUCAUCCUGCACAGCUGGACAACCGCAAUGCUGGAUCAUCUCAGUAAGAGAAAAGAAGAGAGAGCGAGUACAAAUAUACAACUCUCAAGCGUAAGGAGUAGGAAGAGAAGAACAGUCAAACAGCCAAAGCCCUCAAAAAGCCAGCCCACUUCUACAUUACUGUACUUUACAACUCUGAUGGUUAGAUUAAACGCCUCCUACCUUAAGUAUACAGUCUUUUUUUUCCAGUAAAGACCUAAUCCAUCCUUAAUAAACCUGUAAGCUCACCUACAGAAUCCCCUGCACUGCCCCUAGCGCGUCACCAGUCGCCAGAACCCCCCCCCGCUGGACUCGCAAGGGUGGCUAGAUGUUCUUAAACAUCACAAGCCACUUUCUCUGUUUCAAGCUGACCUUGGAAUGGCCAUUAGACAUGGCUUUGAACUACUGGAACUAUCUCUCAUAGACCAGUGUCAAGGGUCCCCCUGAGUUGAUAAUGACUUGCUUUCAUAACUGCUGUGACAUUUUGUGAAGGUACGCUAGGCGUGCUCACAGGCCAUAUCUACAGAAUGCAAUGCUUCCUUUCCCCCUCAGCAGGUGCGAAUCUGAGCUGCAUAGUCUGCGAUUUACAGUGCUGUGUUUGCGCAUCCUGGAAUAAGUAUAGGCCCGGGCCCACGCGUAUGUCCGGCCUUGAUAAGCAUUUCGGCUCGCUACAGCGUGGAUACAAACUCAGGCUUAUACAGAAGAUUAGUGACUGUACAGCGGCGAUGUUUGCUUUAAAUAUCACUGCCACGGUUCCUUGAUGAAGCUAUUUCCCAUAUGCCAUGCAAUCUCUCAUUUGCUUCUGCUUGUGUUGUUAUUUCCAAAUCAGAAAAAUGAAUAAAUGCAUCGCAGCGGAUAAUGCCUAUUUCAAAUUUAAAAAGUAAGAAACUCCGUUACGUACUGUACUAUUGGUUUUAGUUCGAAAAGGUCUAAUAAAACCGAUUUUUAAAAGCC
Long non-coding RNA from Puntigrus tetrazona (Sumatra barb), 2963 nucleotides. RefSeq lists it as uncharacterized. The transcript is spliced from 2 exons. The record is from RefSeq and is a predicted model, not a curated record. Lineage: Eukaryota; Metazoa; Chordata; Actinopteri; Cypriniformes; Cyprinidae.